Molecule: ribosomal RNA, 401 nt
Filed under: uncultured prokaryote
Description: bacterial SSU rRNA
Rfam family: Bacterial small subunit ribosomal RNA
Source: RNAcentral
UAGGGAAUAUUAGAAAUGGACGAAAGUCUGACCUAGCAACACCGCGUGUGCGAAGAGGCCUUCGGGUCGUAAAGCACUUUUUGGAAGGAAUAGGAAGGAAUGUACUUCCAGAAUAAGUCUCGGCUAACUACGUGCCAGCAGCCGCGGUAACACGUAGGAGGCGAACGUUAUCCGGAUUUACUGGGCGUAAAGCGCGUGUAGGUGGUUCUGGAAGUAGGGCGUGAAAGCUCCUGGCUCAACUGGGAGAGGCCGUUCUAAACUACAGAACUAGAGGAUGGUAGAGGGAGGUUGAAAUCCAGGUGUAGCGGUGGAAUGCGCAGAUAUCUGGAGGAACACCAGUGGCGAAGGCGGCCUCCUGGACCAUUCCUGACACUCAGACGCGAAAGCUAGGGUAGCAAACG